RNAcentral lists this ribosomal RNA (468 nucleotides) under uncultured bacterium. RNAcentral describes it as "partial 16S ribosomal RNA". It matches the Rfam family "Bacterial small subunit ribosomal RNA", at positions 28 to 507 of the family's 1533-position model. The record is from RNAcentral.
GACGAACGCUGGCGGCGUGCUUAACACAUGCAAGUCGAACGGAAAGGCCCUGCUUUUGUGGGGUGCUCGAGUGGCGAACGGGUGAGUAACACGUGAGUAACCUGCCCUUGACUUUGGGAUAACUUCAGGAAACUGGGGCUAAUACCGGAUAGGAGCUCCUGCUGCAUGGUGGGGGUUGGAAAGUUUCGGCGGUUGGGGAUGGACUCGCGGCUUAUCAGCUUGUUGGUGGGGUAGUGGCUUACCAAGGCUUUGACGGGUAGCCGGCCUGAGAGGGUGACCGGCCACAUUGGGACUGAGAUACGGCCCAGACUCCUACGGGAGGCAGCAGUGGGGAAUAUUGCACAAUGGGCGGAAGCCUGAUGCAGCAACGCCGCGUGCGGGAUGACGGCCUUCGGGUUGUAAACCGCUUCCGCCUGUGACGAAGCGUGAGUGGCGGUAAUGGGUAAAGAAGCACCGGCUAACUACAUG